CAGUCGCCGCGGUAAUACAGAGGGUGCGAGCGUUAAUCGUAUUUACUGGGCGUAAAGCGUGCGUAGGCGGCUUCUUAAGUCGGAUGUGAAAUCCCUGAGCUUAACUUAGGAAUUGCAUUCGAUACUGGGAAGCUAGAGUAUGGGAGAGGAUGGUAGAAUUCCAGGUGUAGCGGUGAAAUGCGUAGAGAUCUGGAGGAAUACCGAUGGCGAAGGCAGCCAUCUGGCCUAAUACUGACGCUGAGGUACGAAAGCAUGUGGAGCAAACAGGAUUAGAUACCCGUGUAGUCCCUGUCUCUUAUAU
This 301-nucleotide ribosomal RNA is filed under the name uncultured bacterium. RNAcentral's name for it is "partial 16S ribosomal RNA". It matches the Rfam family "Bacterial small subunit ribosomal RNA", at positions 509 to 809 of the family's 1533-position model. The record is from RNAcentral.